CGGAGUGUAGCGCAGCCCGGUAGCGCACUUGCAUGGGGUGCAAGGGGUCCAGAGUUCAAAUCUCUGCACUCCGACCA
This 77-nucleotide transfer RNA is filed under the name Erythrobacter sp. RNAcentral describes it as "tRNA-Pro". It matches the Rfam family "tRNA". Rfam says of the family: Transfer RNA (tRNA) molecules are approximately 80 nucleotides in length. Their secondary structure includes four short double-helical elements and three loops (D, anti-codon, and T loops). Further hydrogen bonds mediate the characteristic L-shaped molecular structure. tRNAs have two regions of fundamental functional importance: the anti-codon, which is responsible for specific mRNA codon recognition, and the 3' end, to which the tRNAs corresponding amino acid is attached (by aminoacyl-tRNA synthetases). tRNAs cope with the degeneracy of the genetic code in two manners: having more than one tRNA (with a specific anti-codon) for a particular amino acid; and 'wobble' base-pairing, i.e. permitting non-standard base-pairing at the 3rd anti-codon position. Lineage: Bacteria; Pseudomonadati; Pseudomonadota; Alphaproteobacteria; Sphingomonadales; Erythrobacteraceae. RNAcentral also lists the same sequence under 7 other names. The record is from RNAcentral.